CUUUCCAGAGACCCUUUUAGAGCCUUCGGGAACUCUGAGACAGGUGCUGCAUGGCCGUCGUCAGCUCGUGUCGUGAGAUGUUGGGUUAAGUCCCGUAACGAGCGCAACCCCUAUCCCUGGUUGCUAGCAGGUAAUGCUGAGAACUCCAGGGAGACUGCCGGUGACAAACCGGAGGAAGGUGGGGAUGACGUCAGGUCAUCAUGGCCCUUACGGCCAGGGCUACACACGUGCUACAAUGGCGCGUACAGAGGGCUGCCAACUCGCGAGAGUGAGCCAAUCCCUUAAAACGCGUCGUAGUCCGGAUCGGAGUCUGCAACUCGACUCCGUGGAGUCGGAAUCGCUAGUAAUCGCGAAUCAGAAUGUCGCGGUGAAUACGUUCCC
RNAcentral lists this ribosomal RNA (381 nucleotides) under uncultured bacterium. Its description in RNAcentral is "bacterial SSU rRNA". It matches the Rfam family "Bacterial small subunit ribosomal RNA", at positions 994 to 1375 of the family's 1533-position model. The record is from RNAcentral.